RNAcentral lists this unclassified non-coding RNA (173 nucleotides) under fungal sp. RNAcentral describes it as "partial internal transcribed spacer region". The stretch from base 1 to 46 matches the Rfam family "Eukaryotic small subunit ribosomal RNA", at positions 1786 to 1831 of the family's 1831-position model. Lineage: Eukaryota; Fungi. The record is from RNAcentral.
AAGUCGUAACAAGGUUUCCGUAGGUGAACCUGCGGAAGGAUCAUUACAAAUUUUGGCGAAAUUCCUCGCCAUUUUUUUUCGUAUUUAAAACAUCCCGCUCUUGUAAAAAAAAAUAUUUUUUAAUUGUAACAUUAAAAAAAAGAUCACUUUCAACAACGGAUCUCUUGGCUCUC